CUCAGCUCAAUGUGCAAAUUCUCAGGAAAUCCAAUGAGACCACCAAGUCUCUGAUAUGUGCUCUCAAUAACAUCUCUUCGUGACCUUGCUUUGCCUCCUUACCCUUUGCUGCAGUUUCUUCAAUCUACCAUGACACCUCUACAUCUCAAUCUAAAUCCGAUGUCUCUGCGCUUCAUACUUUGCCGUCUGAAUGUGUGGCCAUCUUGGUACGGAAACGAAUCAGACGAGCUUGUUCCAAUUCGAUUCGAGUUCGAGUUUCCAAGUCAAGCGAACAAAGAGUAGAUUUGAAUCAUUGUUGUUGUUGUUGGUGUUUAUCACUGUCUCAGUCUUUUACUAGUAAAUGGAUGGCCAACUUGGUUUU
RNAcentral lists this unclassified non-coding RNA (361 nucleotides) under Arabidopsis thaliana (thale cress). The record is from RNAcentral. Lineage: Eukaryota; Viridiplantae; Streptophyta; Magnoliopsida; Brassicales; Brassicaceae.